RNAcentral lists this ribosomal RNA (486 nucleotides) under uncultured bacterium. RNAcentral describes it as "partial 16S ribosomal RNA". It matches the Rfam family "Bacterial small subunit ribosomal RNA", at positions 30 to 507 of the family's 1533-position model. The record is from RNAcentral.
AUUGAACGCUGGCGGCAUGCCUUACACAUGCAAGUCGAACGGCAGCACGGGUGCUUGCACCUGGUGGCGAGUGGCGAACGGGUGAGUAAUACAUCGGAACAUGUCCUGUAGUGGGGGAUAGCCCGGCGAAAGCCGGAUUAAUACCGCAUACGAUCUACGGAUGAAAGCGGGGGACCUUCGGGCCUCGCGCUAUAGGGUUGGCCGAUGGCUGAUUAGCUAGUUGGUGGGGUAAAGGCCUACCAAGGCGACGAUCAGUAGAUGGUCUGAGAGGACGACCAGCCACACUGGGACUGAGACACGGCCCAGACUCCUACGGGAGGCAGCAGUGGGGAAUUUUGGACAAUGGGCGAAAGCCUGAUCCAGCAAUGCCGCGUGUGUGAAGAAGGCCUUCGGGUUGUAAAGUACUUUUGUCCGGAAAGAAAUCCUUGGCUCUAAUACAGUCGGGGGAUGACGGUACCGGAAGAAUAAGCACCGGCUAACUACGUG